UACGGGGGGAGCAAGCGUUGUUCGGAUUUAUUGGGAGUAAAGGGGGCGUAGGCGGCUGGUGAAGUUAGAUGUGAAAGUCCUGGGCUUAACCUGGGGACUGCAUUUGAUACUGAUUGGCUUGAAUGCAGGAGAGGAUAGCGGAAUUCCCAGUGUAGAGGUGAAAUUCGUAGAUAUUGGGAAGAACACCGGUGGCGAAGGCGGCUAUCUGGACUGUGAUUGACGCUGAGGCGCGAAAGCGUGGGGAGCAAACAGG
This 253-nucleotide ribosomal RNA is filed under the name uncultured bacterium. Its description in RNAcentral is "partial 16S ribosomal RNA". It matches the Rfam family "Bacterial small subunit ribosomal RNA", at positions 524 to 776 of the family's 1533-position model. The record is from RNAcentral.